This 409-nucleotide unclassified non-coding RNA is filed under the name Hevea brasiliensis (rubber tree). The record is from RNAcentral. Lineage: Eukaryota; Viridiplantae; Streptophyta; Magnoliopsida; Malpighiales; Euphorbiaceae.
GUGCGUGCGCACAUGCAUACAAAAAGUCAGGUCUAAGUUACAUUUAUGCCUUGCCCUGCUCUGACCAUCUCUUGGAUAAUUUCUUGUUGUUGCUGGUAAGUUUAGCAUGACUUGCCAUCUCUAGUCUGAACUUAUAUGGUCUACUGAAAAUUUUAUGGUGGGUGAUUUAUGUUUUAAAAAAAGAUGUUUGUUAUGCUCUUGUAAUGAAUUGCAAGUUGCUAUAUCAUUAUCAAGGUGUUUUGCAUUGACAGAAUUGAUAGCACUCUUCAUAUAUCUUCUUUAAUGCUAUACAAUUGUUGACUAUUAAUAUGAUUGUGUUGAGUUAGUUUAUACUUUGCUAGUACGACACAUGCAGCCAUCAAUGCUGUGAUAAAUUUUUUUAACCAUGAUUUCUAAAUGUGAAUUGGCU